This 253-nucleotide ribosomal RNA is filed under the name uncultured bacterium. RNAcentral describes it as "partial 16S ribosomal RNA". It matches the Rfam family "Bacterial small subunit ribosomal RNA", at positions 524 to 776 of the family's 1533-position model. The record is from RNAcentral.
UACGGAGGGUGCUAGCGUUGUUCGGAAUUACUGGGCGUAAAGCGUGCGCAGGCGGUUGGUUAAGUCUUAUGUGAAAGCCCCGGGCUCAACCUGGGAAUGGCAUUGGAAACUGUCCAGCUGGAGUGUGGCAGAGGGGGGUGGAAUUCCGCGUGUAGCAGUGAAAUGCGUAGAGAUGCGGAGGAACACCGAUGGCGAAGGCAGCCCCCUGGGCCAACACUGACGCUCAGGCACGAAAGCGUGGGGAGCAAACAGG